Molecule: non-coding RNA, 1127 nt
Organism: Propithecus coquereli (Coquerel's sifaka)
Lineage: Eukaryota; Metazoa; Chordata; Mammalia; Primates; Indriidae
Source: the annotation of a RefSeq genome assembly
ACGGUAUGGAUUUGUGGGGCCAGGGGACAGCGGUCACCGUCUCCUCAGUGUCCCCGACCAGCCCCAACGUCUUCCCGCUGAGCCUUCAAAGCACGGAGCAGGGCGACCCCGUGGUCAUCGCCUGCCUGGUCCAGGGCUUCUUCCCGCAGGAGCCGCUGGAGGUGACCUGGAGCCAGGACGGGGAGGACGUGACUGUCACACAGUAUCUGCCCACCGAGGCUGGCACGGAGGGCCUGUACACCGCCAGCAGCCAGCUGACCCUGCCGGCCGACCAGUGCCCGGCUGCCAAGUCCGUGCAGUGCCACGUGGAGCACAACUCGGACUUCAGCAAGGAUGUGUCCGUGCCCUGCACCACCCCAGACCCACCUGUGCCCUCCUGCUGCCAUCCCAAACUGUCACUGCACCCACCGGCCCUCGAGGACCUGCUUCUGGGCUCAGACGCCAACCUCACGUGCACACUGAGCGGCCUGGUGGACCCCGAGAACGCCGUCUUCGCCUGGCAGCCCUCGGAGGGGAAGGACGCCGUGCAGGAGGCAGCCGUGAGGGACUCCUGUGGCUGCUAUAGUGUGUCCAGUGUCCUGCCCGGCUGCGCCGAGCCGUGGAACCACGGGCAGACCUUCGAGUGCUCCGCCACCCACCCUGAGUCUGAGACCACACUGACCGCCACCAUCGCCAAAGUCUCAGGCAACACCUUCCGGCCCCAGGUCCACCUGCUGCCGCCGCCGUCGGAGGAGCUGGCCCUGAACGAGCUGGUGACGCUGACGUGCCUGGUGCGCGGCUUCAGCCCCAAGCAGGUGCUGGUGCGCUGGCUGCAGGGGUCCCAGGAGCUGCCCCGAAGCGACUACCUGACCUGGCCCCCCCGGCAGGAGCCCGGCCAGGGCGCCACCACCUUCGUGGUGACCAGCGUGCUGCGCGUGUCGGCCGAGUCCUGGAAGAACGGGGACAACUUCUCCUGCAUGGUGGGCCACGAGGCCCUGCCCCUGGCCUUCACGCAGAAGACCAUCGACCGCCUGGCGGGUAAACCCACCCACGUCAACGUGUCCGUGGUCAUGGCAGAGGUGGACGGUAUCUGCUACUGAGCCGCCCGCCCACCUGCCCCUGAAUAAACGCCGAGCUCGCCCCACGCA